RNAcentral lists this transfer RNA (76 nucleotides) under Bacteroidota bacterium. RNAcentral's name for it is "Bacteroidetes bacterium (freshwater metagenome) tRNA-Lys". It matches the Rfam family "tRNA". Rfam says of the family: Transfer RNA (tRNA) molecules are approximately 80 nucleotides in length. Their secondary structure includes four short double-helical elements and three loops (D, anti-codon, and T loops). Lineage: Bacteria; Pseudomonadati; Bacteroidota. The record is from RNAcentral.
GAUUCCGUAGCUCAGCUGGUAGAGCAAUACACUUUUAAUGUAUGGGCCCUGGGUUCGAAUCCCAGCGGAAUCACCA